CUAAGGAAAUGGAAACCUGUACGUCAGUCUUCUUUAAUUUUGAGAGGUCUUGUGGGGCCUUAGCUCAGCUGGGAGAGCGCCUGCUUUGCACGCAGGAGGUCCAGCGGUUCGAUCCCGCUAGGCUCCAUUAGGAUAGAAAUCCUACUAAACUGAAUAACAGUGAAGUUGAAUUCACGACUAACUUCUUAGGAAAAUAGAUAAUCUUCCUUGUGUGCAAGACACACAAUGUCAGAUUCCUAAUUUUCUACAGAAGUUUCGCAGAAGCGACCGUCGUUCAUAUCCUAAACUUGUCCAUUGAAAAUUGAAUAUCUAUCAAACAUUCCUAAACGUAUGUAAAAAUACGUAUAGAAAUAGUAACAAGAAAAUAAACCGAAAACGCUGUGAAUAUUUAAUGAGUUUUCUAAUUUUUGAAAAAAAUUAGGUUA
Molecule: transfer RNA, 425 nt
Filed under: Streptococcus suis
Lineage: Bacteria; Bacillati; Bacillota; Bacilli; Lactobacillales; Streptococcaceae
Description: 16S-23S ribosomal RNA intergenic spacer
Rfam family: tRNA (bases 54-127)
Source: RNAcentral